This 403-nucleotide ribosomal RNA is filed under the name Verrucomicrobiota bacterium. RNAcentral describes it as "Verrucomicrobia bacterium partial 16S ribosomal RNA". It matches the Rfam family "Bacterial small subunit ribosomal RNA", at positions 355 to 776 of the family's 1533-position model. The record is from RNAcentral. Lineage: Bacteria; Pseudomonadati; Verrucomicrobiota.
UGGGGAAUAUUGCACAAUGGGGGAAACCCUGAUGCAGCGACGCCGCGUGAGCGAAGAAGGCUUUCGAGUCGUAAAGCUCUGUCCUAUGAGAAGAUAAUGACGGUAUCAUAGGAGGAAGCCCUGGCUAAAUACGUGCCAGCAGCCGCGGUAAUACGUAUGGGGCGAGCGUUGUCCGGAAUUAUUGGGCGUAAAGGGUACGUAGGUGGUUUUUUAAGUCAGGUGUCAAAGCGUGGAGCUUAACUCCAUUAAGCACUUGAAACUGAAAGACUUGAGUGAAGGAGAGGAAAGUGGAAUUCCUAGUGUAUCGGUGAAAUGCGUAGAUAUUAGGAGGAAGACCGGUGGCGAAGGCGACUUUCUGGACUUUUACUGACGCUCAGGUACUAAAGCGUGGGGAGCAAACAGG